UACAGAGGUGGCAAGCGUUGUUCGGAAUUACUGGGCGUAAAGGGCGCGUAGGCGGCCUUCUAAGUCGGACGUGAAAUCCCCAGGCUUAACUUGGGAACUGCGUCUGAUACUGGAAGGCUUGAGUGCGGGAGAGGGAUGUGGAAUUCCAGGUGUAGCGGUGAAAUGCGUAGAUAUCUGGAGGAACACCGGUGGCGAAGGCGGCAUCCUGGACCGACACUGACGCUGAGGCGCGAAAGCCAGGGGAGCAAACGGG
Molecule: ribosomal RNA, 253 nt
Filed under: uncultured bacterium
Lineage: Bacteria
Description: partial 16S ribosomal RNA
Rfam family: Bacterial small subunit ribosomal RNA
Source: RNAcentral